AGUGGCGGACGGGCGAGGAAUACGUAGGGAUCUGCCCUUAAGUGGGGGAUAACCCGGGGAAACCCGGAUUAAUACCGCAUGAUCUCGCAAGAGCAAAGAGGGGGACCGCAAGGCCUCUCGCUUUUGGAGGAACCUACGUCGGAUUAGCUAGUUGGUGAGGUAACGGCUCACCAAGGCGACGAUCCGUAACUGGUCUGAGAGGAUGAUCAGUCACACCGGAACUGAGACACGGUCCGGACUCCUACGGGAGGCAGCAGUGGGGAAUAUUGGACAAUGGGCGAAAGCCUGAUCCAGCAAUACCGCGUGUGUGAAGAAGGCCUUCGGGUUGUAAAGCACUUUAAGUUGGGAAGAAAAAGCUUCACCUAAUACGUGGAGCCUUGACGGUACCGACAGAAUAAGCACCGGCUAACUCUGUGCCAGCAGCCGCGGUAAUACAGAGGGUGCUAGCGUUAAUCGGAUUUACUGGGCGUAAAGCGUGCGUAGGCGGUUUGAUAAGUCGAUUGUGAAAGCCCCGGGCUCAACCUGGGAAUUGCGGUCGAUACUGUCAGACUCGAAAACGGUAGAGGGAGGCGGAACUCCAGGUGUAGCGGUGAAAUGCGUAGAUAUCUGGAAGAACACCGAUGGCGAAGGCAACCUCCUGGGCCUGUUUUGACGCUGAGGCACGAAAGCGUGGGUAGCAAACAGGAUUAGAUACCCUGGU
Molecule: ribosomal RNA, 700 nt
Filed under: uncultured Gammaproteobacteria bacterium
Lineage: Bacteria; Pseudomonadati; Pseudomonadota; Gammaproteobacteria
Description: bacterial SSU rRNA
Rfam family: Bacterial small subunit ribosomal RNA
Source: RNAcentral